RNAcentral lists this ribosomal RNA (696 nucleotides) under uncultured Staphylococcus sp. RNAcentral's name for it is "bacterial SSU rRNA". It matches the Rfam family "Bacterial small subunit ribosomal RNA", at positions 63 to 745 of the family's 1533-position model. Lineage: Bacteria; Bacillati; Bacillota; Bacilli; Caryophanales; Staphylococcaceae. The record is from RNAcentral.
CGAACGGACGAGAAGCUUGCUUCUCUGAUGUUAGCGGCGGACGGGUGAGUAACACGUGGAUAACCUACCUAUAAGACUGGGAUAACUUCGGGAAACCGGAGCUAAUACCGGAUAAUAUUUUGAACCGCAUGGUUCAAAAGUAAAAGACGGUCUUGCUGUCACUUAUAGAUGGAUCCGCGCUGCAUUAGCUAGUUGGUAAGGUAACGGCUUACCAAGGCAACGAUGCAUAGCCGACCUGAGAGGGUGAUCGGCCACACUGGAACUGAGACACGGUCCAGACUCCUACGGGAGGCAGCAGUAGGGAAUCUUCCGCAAUGGGCGAAAGCCUGACGGAGCAACGCCGCGUGAGUGAUGAAGGUCUUCGGAUCGUAAAACUCUGUUAUUAGGGAAGAACAUAUGUGUAAGUAACUGUGCACAUCUUGACGGUACCUAAUCAGAAAGCCACGGCUAACUACGUGCCAGCAGCCGCGGUAAUACGUAGGUGGCAAGCGUUAUCCGGAAUUAUUGGGCGUAAAGCGCGCGUAGGCGGUUUUUUAAGUCUGAUGUGAAAGCCCACGGCUCAACCGUGGAGGGUCAUUGGAAACUGGAAAACUUGAGUGCAGAAGAGGAAAGUGGAAUUCCAUGUGUAGCGGUGAAAUGCGCAGAGAUAUGGAGGAACACCAGUGGCGAAGGCGACUUUCUGGUCUGUAACUGACG